CCUACGGGUGGCAGCAGUGGGGGAUAUUGCACAAUGGGGGAAACCCUGAUGCAGCGACGCCGCGUGUGGGAAGACGGUCCUCUGGAUUGUAAACCACUGUCCCCAGGGACGAAGAUGACGGUACCUGGGGAGGAAGCAUCGGCUAACUCCGUGCCAGCAGCCGCGGUAAUACGGAGGAUGCGAGCGUUAUCCGGAUUUAUUGGGUUUAAAGGGUGCGCAGGCGGAGGUGCAAGUCAGCGGUCAAAUUGCGGGGCUCAACCCCGUACUGCCGUUGAAACUGCAUCCCUUGAGUGCGCGAGAAGUAUGCGGAAUGCGUGGUGUAGCGGUGAAAUGCAUAGAUAUCACGCAGAACUCCGAUUGCGAAGGCAGCAUACCGGCGCGCAACUGACGCUCAUGCACGAAAGCGUGGGUAUCGAACAGGAUUAGAUACCCCUGUAGUC
This 440-nucleotide ribosomal RNA is filed under the name uncultured bacterium. Its description in RNAcentral is "partial 16S ribosomal RNA". It matches the Rfam family "Bacterial small subunit ribosomal RNA", at positions 338 to 795 of the family's 1533-position model. The record is from RNAcentral.